UGUAGUAAUGAUGGCACGAAGGAUACACCUGUUCCCAUUCCGAACACAGAAGUUAAGCUUCGUAACGCCGAGAGUAGUUAGAGG
This 84-nucleotide ribosomal RNA is filed under the name Ligilactobacillus salivarius. The record is from RNAcentral. Lineage: Bacteria; Bacillati; Bacillota; Bacilli; Lactobacillales; Lactobacillaceae.